This 544-nucleotide ribosomal RNA is filed under the name uncultured bacterium. RNAcentral's name for it is "bacterial SSU rRNA". It matches the Rfam family "Archaeal small subunit ribosomal RNA", at positions 723 to 1267 of the family's 1478-position model. The record is from RNAcentral.
ACGGAAUAGAUACCCUGGUAGUCCCAGCCGUAAACGAUGCUCGCUAGGUGUCAGGCAUGGCGCGACCGUGUCUGGUGCCGCAGGGAAGCCGUGAAGCGAGCCACCUGGGAAGUACGGCCGCAAGGCUGAAACUUAAAGGAAUUGGCGGGGGAGCACAACAACGGGUGGAGCCUGCGGUUUAAUUGGACUCAACGCCGGACAACUCACCGGGGGCGACAGCAAUAUGUAGGCCAGGCUGAAGACCUUGCCUGAAUCGCUGAGAGGAGGUGCAUGGCCGUCGCCAGUUCGUACUGUGAAGCAUCCUGUUAAGUCAGGCAACGAGCGAGACCCGUGCCCACUGUUACCAGCAUGUCCUCCGGGACGAUGGGUACUCUGUGGGGACCGCCGAUGUUAAAUCGGAGGAAGGUGCGGGCCACGGUAGGUCAGUAUGCCCCGAAUCUCCCGGGCUACACGCGGGCUACAAUGGAUGGGACAAUGGGUCCCUCCCCUGAAAAGGGCUGGUAAUCUCACAAACCCAUUCGUAGUUCGGAUCGAGGGCUGUAAC